UACGGAGGAUCCAAGCGUUAUCCGGAAUCAUUGGGUUUAAAGGGUCCGUAGGUUGAUAAUUAAGUCAGAGGUGAAAGUUUGCGGCUCAACCGUAAAAUUGCCUUUGAUACUGGUUAUCUUGAAUCAUUGUGAAGUGGUUAGAAUAUGUAGUGUAGCGGUGAAAUGCAUAGAUAUUACAUAGAAUACCAAUUGCGAAGGCAGAUCACUAACAAUGUAUUGACACUGAUGGACGAAAGCGUGGGGAGCGAACGGG
RNAcentral lists this ribosomal RNA (253 nucleotides) under uncultured bacterium. RNAcentral's name for it is "partial 16S ribosomal RNA". It matches the Rfam family "Bacterial small subunit ribosomal RNA", at positions 524 to 776 of the family's 1533-position model. The record is from RNAcentral.